Non-coding RNA from Dipodomys ordii (Ord's kangaroo rat), 70 nucleotides. The record is from Rfam. Lineage: Eukaryota; Metazoa; Chordata; Mammalia; Rodentia; Heteromyidae.
GGGAAUGUGGCUCGGUAGUAGAGUACUUGCCUUGCAUGCAUGAAGCCCUGGGUUCGAUUCCUCAGUACCA